RNAcentral lists this ribosomal RNA (79 nucleotides) under Escherichia coli. RNAcentral describes it as "partial 16S ribosomal RNA". It matches the Rfam family "Bacterial small subunit ribosomal RNA", at positions 1 to 79 of the family's 1533-position model. RNAcentral also lists the same sequence under 3 other names. Lineage: Bacteria; Pseudomonadati; Pseudomonadota; Gammaproteobacteria; Enterobacterales; Enterobacteriaceae. The record is from RNAcentral.
AAAUUGAAGAGUUUGAUCAUGGCUCAGAUUGAACGCUGGCGGCAGGCCUAACACAUGCAAGUCGAACGGUAACAGAAAG